Molecule: non-coding RNA, 32 nt
Filed under: Rattus norvegicus (Norway rat)
Lineage: Eukaryota; Metazoa; Chordata; Mammalia; Rodentia; Muridae
Source: RNAcentral
UGUGAUGACAUAGAGACCAUCAGAGUCGUCGC